Molecule: long non-coding RNA, 698 nt
Filed under: Linum usitatissimum (flax)
Lineage: Eukaryota; Viridiplantae; Streptophyta; Magnoliopsida; Malpighiales; Linaceae
Description: long non-coding RNA (LUSI_LNC007137)
Source: RNAcentral
AGGCUGCUUGUGUUCACCUCGGUUCAGUCCAAGGAAGCGAGUGAAGGGAUUGCUUACCAGUGGAAUUACAUGGUUGAGAACCAAUGUCAGUCUCUUCUACUCUAAUUAAGCACUAGAUACUACUCUUCUGGUACAAUCGGUCGGUUGGGUUAUUUCAUGUCGGAAAGUGGGAUUGAUUGGGAAAGCCUUACUGCUUUGAACUAGCUUUUUUUAGAAGAAAAAAUUCAAUAGCACCCAACAAGUGGUAUAAGCGUCUAGAUUGAUAACACUUCCAGAGGGAUACGAUAAAGUUGGUAGAUUUGGGACUGGUGAUUGGGUCAUAUUCGGUAUCCACUUUCAUACGUGGGAUAAUCGAACAACCUUUUCCUCAGACAUUGGUCUCUCAGUGGGCAUUACUCAUUUAUUGGCUUUGCUGGAUAUUUGAAGGUGUAGUCAAUCUCGGCUUUGACACAAUUGUUGGGUGCUAUUGAUCCAAAAGCUAGCUCAAAGAGUAAGGUUUUCUCGCACACUUAUAAACAGAGCAUCUAACCUUUUUCACUUUUCGAUGUGAGAUAAUCCAACAGGGUCCAAUCAACCAAACAGAAGGAAUCAGACAGUUUACGUAAAAAAAUUUGAUUGAUUUGAAAUGCAGAUGGGGAUGGAGGGAUGAAGGCAGGGAAUUGUCCGAACAGAGGUGAAUCGUCGCCCUUGAACGACAC